This 460-nucleotide ribosomal RNA is filed under the name uncultured bacterium. Its description in RNAcentral is "partial 16S ribosomal RNA". It matches the Rfam family "Bacterial small subunit ribosomal RNA", at positions 338 to 795 of the family's 1533-position model. The record is from RNAcentral.
CCUACGGGAGGCAGCAGUGAGGAAUAUUGGUCAAUGGACGAGAGUCUGAACCAGCCAAGUCGCGUGAAGGAUGACGGCUCUAUGGGUUGUAAACUUCUUUUAUAAGGGAGUAAAGCGAGGCACGUGUGCCUUUUUGCAUGUACCGUAUGAAUAAGGAUCGGCUAACUCCGUGCCAGCAGCCGCGGUAAUACGGAGGAUGCGAGCGUUAUCCGGAUUUAUUGGGUUUAAAGGGAGCGUAGAUGGGUGGUUAAGUCAGAUGUGAAAGUCUGAGGCUCAACCUUAAAAUUGCCAUUGAUACUGGCAGUCUUGAGUAUAGUUGAGGUAGGCGGAAUGCGUGGUGUAGCGGUGAAAUGCUUAGAGAUCACGAAGAACCCCGAUUGCGAAGGCAGCUUACUAAGCUAUGACUGACAUUGAUGCACGAAAGCGUGGGGAGCAAACAGGAUUAGAUACCCUUGUAGUC